This is an unclassified non-coding RNA of Pan paniscus (pygmy chimpanzee), 96 nucleotides long. It matches the Rfam family "Y RNA". From Rfam's summary of the family: Y RNAs are components of the Ro ribonucleoprotein particle (Ro RNP), in association with Ro60 and La proteins. The Y RNAs and Ro60 and La proteins are well conserved, but the function of the Ro RNP is not known. In humans the RNA component can be one of four small RNAs -- hY1, hY3, hY4 and hY5. The record is from Ensembl. NCBI's taxonomy places the organism in Eukaryota, Metazoa, Chordata, Mammalia, Primates, Hominidae.
GGCUGGUCCAGUGGUAGUGAAUUAUCAGAACUUACUAACAUUAGUGUCACUAAAGUUGAUGUACAGUCCCCUACUGCUAAAUUUGACUGGCUUUAA